UGACUGGUUACCUUCUCUGCUGCUGUUGUUAGAAGACAAGUGCUGGCAAGCUCUGGUGCAGGAGGGGCUGCUCCGUGUCACUCACUCCCUGCAGGAUGAGGUCUUUUCCCUUCUGGGGCAGCCAGAGCCUGAUGCCAAUGGGCAGUGCCAGGAAGGUAACCUUCAACAGCUGCUCUUAUGGGGCGUCCGGCACAACCUUUCCUGGGAUGUCCAGGCGCUGGGCUUUCUGUCUGGAUCACCACCCCACCCCUGCCCUCCUUCACUGCCUGAGCACAGGUGUGCCUCUGCCCAGAGCUUCUCAGCCCUCAGCCCACAUCAGCCCACGCCAACGGCGAGCCAUCACUGUGGAGGCCCUCUGUGAGAACCACUCAGGCCCAGCACCACCCUACAGCAUUUCCAACUUCUCCAUCCACUUGCUCUGCCAACACACCAAGCCUGUCACUCCACAGCCCCCUCCCAGCACCAUUGCCAUCUGCCAGACAGCUGUGUGGUAUGCAGUCUCAUGGGCACCAGGUGCCCAAGGCUGGCUACAGGCCUGUCAUGACCAGUUUCCUGAUGAGUUUUGAAUGCGAUCUGUAGUAACCUCUCCUUUUCAGCCCUGUCUGGCUCCAACCGCCGCCUGGUGAAGCGGCUCUGUGCUGGCCUGCUCCCACCCCCUACCAGCUGCCCUGAAGGCCUGCCCCAUUCCCCCUCACCCCAGACAUCUUUAGGGGCUGCUUCUUGGAGAAUGAAACUCUGUGGCCUGAGUGACUGUAUGGGGAGGCAAGUCUACAGGCUGUGCCCCCCAGCAACCAGGCUUGGGUCCAGCAUGUGUGCCAGGGCCCCACCCCAGAUGUCACUGCUUCCCCACCCUGCCACAUUGGACCCUGUGGGGAACGCUGCCCAGAUGGGGCAGCUUCCUGGUGAUGAUCUGUGCCAAUGACACCAUGUAUGAUGCCCUGGUGCCCUUCUGGCCUUGGCUAGCAGGCCAGUGCAGGAUAAGUCGUGGGGGCAAUGACACUUGCUUCCUAGAAGGGCUGCUGGGCCUUCUGCCCUCUCUGCCACCACUGGGACCAUCCCCACUCUGUCUGACCCCUGGCCCCUUCCUCCUUGGCAUGCUAUCCCAGUUGCCACGCUGUCUCUGUGGCAGCUGUGCCAGCCCUUGCUCACCCCACACGCCUACACUAUCUCCUCCACCUGUUGACCUUCCUCUUGGGUCCAGGGGCUGGGGCGCUGUGGCCCAGGGGAUGCUGGGUUGGGUCCUACUGCUCUCCAGUCUCCCAGACAACUGCUCCUUCUGGGAUGCCUUUUUGCCCAGAGGGCCGGCAUAGUGUGCUGCGGACGAUUGGGGAAUACCUGGAACAAGAGGAGGAGCAGCCAACCCCACCAGGCUUUGAACCCACUGUCAACCCCAGCUCUGGUAUAAGCAAGAUGGAGCUGCUGGCCUGCUUUAGUGUGAGUGCUCUGCCAGAGGGAAAGCUCCUAGAACAGUGAGAAGGCCCUCCAGGGGAAUUCCUCGUGUACUCAGAGGCAGUAGUGUGGGGUAGUAGUUGAAGCACACAGCUCUAGAGUCAGACAGGCUUGGAUUCAUAUCUUGGUUCUGUGACCAGCCUUAAAUGAGUUAUUUAACUUCUCUGAGCAAUAUUUUCUCGUCUCAUUUAUAAACUAGGGAUGAUACUGGUAUAUGAGAUAAUACAUGCUGUGGGCUUAGCACAGUGCAUGAUACACAAAUGUGCAAUAAAUAUUACCUUGUUAUUCUUUGGGGCUCUUUGACUCUCCCGCUUUCUGCACCAGAAAGAAAAGGAUCAAGUUAGAGGACUCUUGAUUUUUUCCUAGAGAGUGAGAAUUGGAGGCUGGCAGAAUACAGGAAGGUAAGGCAGGAAUGAGAAAGAUUCAGGGACACUACCAAUCAGAAAACUUUGGUUCUAGGUUCAACUGUGCCACACAUUAGUGUGAUCUUAGGCAAGCAAUUUAAUUUAGUUUUCUGGGCUUCAGUUUUACUCUGUUGCAUGGAAGGGUGGGAAUAUGUUAAACACCAUAAUUCAUUCACUGAGUGCCUAUUAUAUGCCAGGCACUUUACUGGGUAGGUUCUGUAGGAUAUAUAAAGAUUCCUUACUCCAUUUUGGGGCUCCAUUUUCAAGCCCUGGGCCCAGUAAAAUGGAAUUAGAUAGUCUCAUAGUAUUUGGUUCAGGUCUGCAGGUAUUAAUUGAUCCAACUAUGGACCUGGCAUGGGAGAGGGUACAAGAGAAAUUAGAGAUAUGAUCCUGGACCUAAAAGAGCUUAAUAUCUGAAGAAUCACAGUUGAGAUGAAGGA
This is a long non-coding RNA of Rhinopithecus bieti (black snub-nosed monkey), 2293 nucleotides long. Lineage: Eukaryota; Metazoa; Chordata; Mammalia; Primates; Cercopithecidae. The record is from Ensembl.